GAGAAUCUAGUAAACAUAUUACAUGACCCUGUCAUAGUCAAAUCACAACAUCUGUGGUUCUCA
Molecule: transfer RNA, 63 nt
Filed under: Protobothrops himalayanus
Lineage: Eukaryota; Metazoa; Chordata; Lepidosauria; Squamata; Viperidae
Description: tRNA-Asp
Source: RNAcentral